CAGCCGCCGCGGUAAUACAGAGGUGGCAAGCGUUGUUCGGAAUUAUUGGGCGUAAAGAGCACGUAGGUGGAUUUGUAAGUCAGAUGUGAAAGCCUUCUGUUCAACGGAAGAAUUGCAUCUGAAACUGCGAGUCUUGAGUGUAGGAGGGGAGAAUGGAACUUCUGGUGGAGCGGUGAAAUGCGUAGAUAUCAGAAGGAACGCCGGCGGCGAAAGCGAUUCUCUGGCCUAUUACUGACACUCAGUGUGCGAAAGCUAGGGGAGCAAACGGGAUUAGAUACCCCGGUAGUCCUAGCUGUAAGCGAUGGGCACUAAGUAGAGGGGAUUACCGAUGUUCUCUCUGCCGUAGCUAACGCAUUAAGUGCCCCGCCUGGGGAGUACGGCCGCAAGGCUAAAACUCAAAAGAAUUGACGGGGGCUCGCACAAGCGGUGGAGCAUGUGGUUUAAUUCGAUGCAACGCGGAGAACCUUACCGGGGCUUGACAUGGUAGAAGUAGGAACCCGAAAGGGUAACGAACGGUAUCCAGUCCGUAGCUAUUACAGGUGUUGCAUGGCUGUCGUCAGCUCGUGUCGUGAGACGUUGGGUUAAGUCCCCUAACGAGCGAAACCCUUGUUUUUAGUUGCCAGCGGGUUGUGCCGGGCACCCUAGAAAGACUGCCGUCGUUAAGACGGAGGAAGGUGGGGAUGACGUCAAGUCAUCAUGGCCCUUAUGCCCCGGACUACACACGUGCUACAAUGGCCGGUACAAACGGAAGCGAAGCCGAGAGGUGAAGCGAAUCCUAAAAAGCCGGUCUCAGUUCGGAUUGGAGGCUGAAAUUCGCCUCCAUGAAGUUGGAAUCGCUAGUAAUCGCGGAUCAGCUCGCCGCGGUGAAUAUGUUCCCGAGCCUUGUACACACCGCCCGUCAAGCCACCCAAGCAGGAUGCACCCGAAAACAUUAUAUCUAACCAGGGCAACUUGGAGGAAAAUGUUGAAGGAGUGUUUUGUGAGGAGGACUAAGUCGUAACAAGGUAACCGUA
Molecule: ribosomal RNA, 1013 nt
Filed under: uncultured Planctomycetota bacterium
Lineage: Bacteria; Pseudomonadati; Planctomycetota
Description: bacterial SSU rRNA
Rfam family: Bacterial small subunit ribosomal RNA
Source: RNAcentral